Molecule: ribosomal RNA, 457 nt
Filed under: uncultured bacterium
Lineage: Bacteria
Description: partial 16S ribosomal RNA
Rfam family: Bacterial small subunit ribosomal RNA
Source: RNAcentral
GAUGAACGCUGGCGGCGUGCCUAAUACAUGCAAGUCGAGCGGUAAGGCCCUUCGGGGUACACGAGCGGCGGACGGCUGAGUAACACGUAGGAACGUACCCCAAACUGAGGGAUAAGCACCAGAAAUGGUGUCUAAUACCGCAUGUGGCCCACGGGCUAAAGCUCCGGCGGUUUGGGAACGGCCUGCGUCCGAUUAGCUAGUUGGUAGUGUAAUAGACUACCAAGGCGACGAUCGGUAGCUGGUCUGAGAGGAUGAUCAGCCAGACUGGGACUGAGACACGGCCCAGACUCCUACGGGAGGCAGCAGUAGGGAAUUUUCCACAAUGGGGGCAACCCUGAUGGAGCAACGCCGCGUGCAGGAUGAAGGCCUUCGGGUUGUAAACUGCUUUUAACUGUGACGAUUAUGACGGUAGCAGAUGAAUAAGGACCUGCUAACUACGUGCCAGCAGCCGCCGUAA